This 496-nucleotide ribosomal RNA is filed under the name uncultured bacterium. RNAcentral's name for it is "partial 16S ribosomal RNA". It matches the Rfam family "Bacterial small subunit ribosomal RNA", at positions 28 to 506 of the family's 1533-position model. The record is from RNAcentral.
GAUGAACGCUGGCGGCGUGCCUAAUACAUGCAAGUCGAGCGAACAGACGAGGAGCUUGCUCCUCUGACGUUAGCGGCGGACGGGUGAGUAACACGUGGAUAACCUACCUAUAAGACUGGGAUAACUUCGGGAAACCGGAGCUAAUACCGGAUAAUAUAUUGAACCGCAUGGUUCAAUAGUGAAAGACGGUUUUGCUGUCACUUAUAGAUGGAUCCGCGCCGCAUUAGCUAGUUGGUAAGGUAACGGCUUACCAAGGCAACGAUGCGUAGCCGACCUGAGAGGGUGAUCGGCCACACUGGAACUGAGACACGGUCCAGACGCCUACGGGAGGCAGCAGGAGGGAAUCUGCCGCAAUGGGCGAAAGCCUGACGGAGCAACGCCGCGGGAGGGAUGAAGGUCUUCGGAUCGGAAAACUCUGUUAUUAGGGAAGAACAAAUGUGUAAGUAACUAUGCACGUCUGGACGGUACCUAAGCAGAAAGCCACGGCUAACUACGG